UACGGAGGGUGCAAGCGUUAUCCGGAUUCACUGGGUUUAAAGGGUGCGUAGGCGGGCCCUUAAGUCAGUGGUGAAAGCUCCGAGCUUAACUCGGAAACUGCCAUUGAUACUAUUUGUCUUGAAUACUGUGGAGGUCAGCGGAAUAUGUCAUGUAGCGGUGAAAUGCUUAGAUAUGACAUAGAACACCAAUUGCGAAGGCAGCUGGCUACACAAAUAUUGACACUGAGGCACGAAAGCGUGGGGAUCAAACAGG
This 253-nucleotide ribosomal RNA is filed under the name uncultured bacterium. Its description in RNAcentral is "partial 16S ribosomal RNA". It matches the Rfam family "Bacterial small subunit ribosomal RNA", at positions 524 to 776 of the family's 1533-position model. The record is from RNAcentral.